UACGGAGGGUGCGAGCGUUGUCCGGAAUCAUUGGGCGUAAAGGGUGCGUAGGCGGCGCGGUAAGUCGGGUGUGAAAUCUCGGAGCUUAACUCCGAAACUGCAUUCGAUACUGCCGUGCUUGAGGACUGGAGAGGAGACUGGAAUUUACGGUGUAGCGGUAAAAUGUGUAGAUAUAUGGAAGAACACCGAUAACGGCGAAGGCAGUUAACUAUUCUGUUACUGACGUUGAGGCACGAAAGCGUGGGGAGCAAAACGG
This 256-nucleotide ribosomal RNA is filed under the name uncultured bacterium. RNAcentral's name for it is "partial 16S ribosomal RNA". It matches the Rfam family "Bacterial small subunit ribosomal RNA", at positions 524 to 776 of the family's 1533-position model. The record is from RNAcentral.